UGGGGAAUAUUGGACAAUGGGCGAAAGCCUGAUCCAGCCAUGCCGCGUGUGUGAAGAAGGUAUUCGGAUUGUAAAGCACUUUAAGUUGGGAGGAAGGGUUGUAGAUUAAUACUCUGCAAUUUUGACGUUACCGACAGAAUAAGCACCGGCUAACUCUGUGCCAGCAGCCGCGGUAAUACAGAGGGUGCAAGCGUUAAUCGGAAUUACUGGGCGUAAAGCGCGCGUAGGUGGUUUGUUAAGUUGGAUGUGAAAUCCCCGGGCUCAACCUGGGAACUGCAUUCAAAACUGACUGACUAGAGUAUGGUAGAGGGUGGUGGAAUUUCCUGUGUAGCGGUGAAAUGCGUAGAUAUAGGAAGGAACACCAGUGGCGAAGGCGACCACCUGGACUAAUACUGACACUGAGGUGCGAAAGCGUGGGGAGCAAACAGG
RNAcentral lists this ribosomal RNA (429 nucleotides) under bacterium. RNAcentral's name for it is "partial 16S ribosomal RNA". It matches the Rfam family "Bacterial small subunit ribosomal RNA", at positions 355 to 776 of the family's 1533-position model. The record is from RNAcentral.